GGUACUUUCUUGAUUCAAAUUUUUUUGAGGCUCGGAGAGGUUGUCGCGCCUCUUAGGCCUGGUCAAGUCUUCUUGAGGCUCGAGAUAUAAUUAUUACCAGAGCUCAUUGGAAAAUUAACAAUAAAGCAAGGGUGAGAAUUUGGAUUGAUCGAUGGGUCCCAUCUCUGCCCAACCUACCCCCACACUGUGUUUCAUCAUCAAAUGAGGUUUGGAAUAUGACAGUAGAUGAGGUAAUUGACCAUGAUACUGGGGCUUGGAAUUUUGAGUCCAUCGAGGGUUUGCUUAGUGAUUCGAAGAAGAAAGCCAUCAGGUUAGUUCCUAUUGGGUCAAGAUUUGCAGGGGAUAGACUAAUUUUGCCUUUGGAGAAGUCUGGGAUGUACUCUGUCAAGUCUGGAUAUCACUAGCUCCACCAUUUGGCUGCCCCGAGGACAAUCAACCAGGCUUCUACCUUGUCUCAAGUACCUCUUGAAAUAUGGAGUCUCAUAUGGGGAAUAAAAUGCCCCCCAAAAAUUGAAAUUUUUUUGUGGCGUGCUCUAAGAAGGGGUUCGGCUACAAAUGAGAAUCUUUAUAGGAGAAGGGUGAGAUCUUCGCCCUUAUGUGCUUUACGCCAUCAAUCUGAGGAAUUUGUCAAGCAUAUUCUUCUCCUUUGUCCAUGGGUUAGUCCUGUUUGGUUUGGAGGUGUUUUGAGUAUGAGAAUUUGCAAAAGUGAAAUCACUACGAUGUGCGAAUGGCUUCUUAAUGUGGUGAUCCGGGCAAGCCUUAAUAAAGUUGAUGUGGCCCGUGUGGCUAUGCCUAUUGCUUUUACUUGUUGGAUUAUUUGGAAAUUUCAUUGUAAAGCAAUAAUUGAAGGAAGACCCCAUCACCAGUGGCGGACGCACGUUGGGACAAGAGGGGUCAGACGACCUCUUGAAAGGCUGAAAAGUUGGCAAGGGACUCCAUGAAAGCCCCCUUGGACAGCUGCUGGAAGCCCCCUUGUAUGCACACCAAGUGCUCGACGAAAGUCCCAGGCCAUUGCUACCCGCCUGGACUGUCCCUCCCCCACGCUUGUGGAAACUGCUUCUUCUGCUUGGAUUCCUCUAGUGCUUCCUAGAGUUAAAAUCAACUUGGAUGUGGCAUGGUCUCCCACCUCAAAUCAGGGUGGCAUUGGUCUGGUUGUUCGUGACUAUAUGGGAACCUUUAUUCUGGCAAUGGCUAUUCCCUGUAUGGCAAACUCUGCGUAGGAGGCUGAGGCUGAGGCUUUGGCAGCUGUUGAAGCAUGUUCUUUAGCUAUUGAACACGGUUCAGACAUGUCCAGUUUGAGUCAGACUACCUAGAGGUGGUGCGUGGGAUCAGUGACAACAUUAGUCAUGAUAGGUGGGAGUUGUACCCGCUCUUAUGUAGGAUUCAGGAUCAACUUGGCCAUCCAAACUUUGAGUUUUCUAGCUGGACUUGGUGUCCAAGAUCAGCAAAUGUUGUAGCAUAUCAUAUUGUGAAUUUGGCUCGUGUGAAGAUGAACAAGGAAACUUGGGUCAGGCGACCCCCAUCUUCACUGGUGCACAUUUUGAAUAAGGAUGAUUUACCCAGCCCUCACCCUUAGUUUGCAUGGAGGCAUUUUGUAGAUGGCGACGUUUAGAGCAGCUCUACGACAUCGGUGUUAUGGCCACUUGCAGCUUGCAUUUAGUUUAUUUUUUUGCUCGUCCUGUCUAUCUGGGACAUUUUUCCUUGUUUGGUUUCGUUUUGGUUGUUGCGUUUUGGCCUGUUAAUGAAUUCCUCCCUUUUGACAAAAAAAAAAAUAAUCAUGUUGUUAACGUUGUUAUUUUAUUAAAAUAACUUUCAACGUUGGUUCUUUUA
Molecule: long non-coding RNA, 1830 nt
Organism: Prunus persica (peach)
Lineage: Eukaryota; Viridiplantae; Streptophyta; Magnoliopsida; Rosales; Rosaceae
Exons: 2
Source: RefSeq, a predicted model, not a curated record